GGAGAGAUGGCCGAGCUGGUCUAAGGCGCACGCCUGCUAAGCGUGUGUUCCGCCUAAAGCGGAACCGAGGGUUCAAAUCCCUCUCUCUCCG
Molecule: transfer RNA, 91 nt
Filed under: Pseudomonadota bacterium
Lineage: Bacteria; Pseudomonadati; Pseudomonadota
Description: tRNA-Ser
Rfam family: tRNA
About the family: Transfer RNA (tRNA) molecules are approximately 80 nucleotides in length.
Source: RNAcentral